Molecule: long non-coding RNA, 883 nt
Filed under: Mus pahari (shrew mouse)
Lineage: Eukaryota; Metazoa; Chordata; Mammalia; Rodentia; Muridae
Description: lncRNA (MGP_PahariEiJ_G0004673.1)
Source: RNAcentral
AGGUCUGAUGGGGAUGGAAUGAUUUUCCAGAGUGCAGAGAAGACUGGCAGGCAGUCACCAAGCUCUCCGCUGGUGUUUGGCUGCCUGUGCAGUACAUGGCUCUUUCCUCGGAGUCGCUCACAAAUCCCCCAGACUUUGUUUGAACCUGUUUUUUGUUGAGUUCUUGGCAUAUGAAGGCAACAGCAGGUUAAUAUGCCAUUUGUCGACGACUGACCGAGAGGAUGCCCUGAGGUUAGUUGGACGGAGACAUCACUGAGCCAGCUGCAAAAAUGAGAAGUCAGAAGGAAAAAAAAAACCAAAACAACAACAGCAACAACAAAACCGGAUAUCCAAAGCCAUCCCCCUACAAAGAAAGAGAAUGUAGUGGGACCAUCUGACCUCCUGCUCCUGUGCCUUCCCUACCAUGAUAGACCAUGCAUCCCGAAACUGUGAGCCACAAUAGACUGUGCCUCCAAACUGUGAACCAGGGUAAGCCUAUCCUUCCUUAACCUGCUUCUUGUCUUCUGUCACAGCAACAAAGAAGUGACUAAUACACUCCAGCAACUCAACUUGGCCACCACAGCAGUCACAUGUGGCUGAUUCGUAGACUACACUACUACUGUGUGUGCAACUUGUGUAUCUUUGCAAUGAUAGCAGGUGGGCCAUAUUGGGUACGUAUGUAGACUAUAAUUUGUCCUGAAAUAGCUAUUGGUUGGUCAAAAUUUGCUUUAGCAAGAUUCCUUGUGAUAUAAUAAUGUAUAGCCUAGAAGUUCCAUUUCUCAUUUUAUUCUCCCUUUGCUGUUACAAACUCUAUUUCAAAGGCUCUUUUGGAAGCUGAUGGGUGUGGAGAGUGGGCCUAUGGUAGCUUUUAGUGGUAACACGACCUUAGAUUAAUUGCCUAAGA